Molecule: transfer RNA, 74 nt
Filed under: Sphingomicrobium sp.
Lineage: Bacteria; Pseudomonadati; Pseudomonadota; Alphaproteobacteria; Sphingomonadales; Sphingomicrobiaceae
Also listed under: 2 other names
Description: tRNA-Gln
Rfam family: tRNA
About the family: Transfer RNA (tRNA) molecules are approximately 80 nucleotides in length.
Source: RNAcentral
UGCCCUGUCGUCUAAUGGUAAGACUACGGACUCUGACUCCGUUAAUCGAGGUUCGAAUCCUCGCGGGGCAUCCA